CAGCCGCCGCGGGAAUACGAAGGGUGCAAGCGUUAAUCGGAAUUACUGGGCGUAAAGCGUGCGUAGGCGGUGAGUUAAGUCUGCUGUGAAAUCCCCGGGCGCAACCUGGGAAUGGCAGUGGAUACUGGCUCGCUAGAGUGUGUCAGAGGAUGGUGGAAUUCCCGGUGUAGCGGUGAAAUGCGUAGAGAUCGGGAGGAACAUCAGUGGCGAAGGCGGCCAUCUGGGACAACACUGACGCUGAGGCACGAAAGCGUGGGGAGCAAACAGGAUUAGAUACCCCAGUAGUCCCUGUCUCUUAUAC
RNAcentral lists this ribosomal RNA (301 nucleotides) under uncultured bacterium. RNAcentral describes it as "partial 16S ribosomal RNA". It matches the Rfam family "Bacterial small subunit ribosomal RNA", at positions 509 to 807 of the family's 1533-position model. The record is from RNAcentral.